AAGACUAUAGACCUGCGGAGUACCUGCGGAAGGAUCAUUAACGUAUCUAUGAUGGGGUGCGGAGCGCCCUGCUCCGGUCGAACGGCCGUGCAGCGGGUGCGUCGCCCCCGUCCCACCUCACAAACCCACUGUGAACAUUCACCGGUGGAGGGGGCUCGGUCUGCGCCGUGUCCCCGAUGCCGAAUACCCAAACUCCAGUUGCAAAGAACGUCGUGCGGACUCGGUGCCGCCUAAAACAUG
This 240-nucleotide unclassified non-coding RNA is filed under the name soil metagenome. RNAcentral describes it as "partial contains 5.8S ribosomal RNA, internal transcribed spacer 2, and large subunit ribosomal RNA". The record is from RNAcentral.